UUACUCCUAACUCAGGGCGCUCGCUUCUCUACACGAGGACAAUCAAGGAGUCGCCAAGGGCGCCCGAUCCCCUCCGGCCACUCAGGGGCCGGGCUCCGGCGGCUUCUUCGCUCCUGCCCCCUCCCGGCUUCCGUCCUCGCCGGCACGGGACUCCGCCCCUCCCAACCCUCAGCCCGGCCUGGUUCGCGCCGAGUAGACGGCGGAGGUUCCCACACCCUGAGACAGUCUACGACGGAGGACUCGGCCCCCUUGGGUCCCUCACCUAGCCAGCGGCGGUCGCAGAGGCUCUCGGAGACCCAGACACGGGGGCCGGAGUCCGCGAAUGAGCCUGGGGACUGCCAACGGAUGUGUAACUGAGGCCGGGAGGUGGUCGCGCCUGCGCAAACAAGCUAUAAACAAGCCCUCCCUCCUUUCCGUCACCGCCGCACUCAGUUGGGAGCGACCGGAGUGGGAGGGUGAGAGGGAAGGCGGGGUGAAAGAGGAGGGGGGAGGGAGGUGGCCUCUGGGAAAGUAAGGGACGGCGCCUGCGCAGUGGGUGUGAUCCGGGCACUUGGGGCAGGAUGAACGCUGCUUUCCAAGAUGGCGACGGAGGGAGGAGGGAAGGAGAUGAACGAGAUUAAGACCCAGUUCACCACCCGAGAAGGUCUUUACAAGCUGCUGCCGCAUUCGGAGUACAGUCGGCCCAACCGGGUGCCCUUCAACUCGCAGGGGUCCAACCCCGUGCGCGUCUCCUUCGUCAACCUUAACGACCAAUCUGGCAACGGCGACCGCCUCUGCUUCAAUGUGGGCCGGGAGCUCUACUUUUACAUCUACAAGGGGGUCCGCAAGGCUGCUGACUUGAGUAAACCGAUAGAUAAAAGGAUAUACAAAGGAACACAGCCUACAUGUCAUGACUUCAACCACCUAACAGCCACAGCAGAAAGUGUCUCCCUACUGGUGGGCUUUUCUGCAGGCCAAGUCCAACUCAUAGACCCAAUCAAAAAAGAAACUAGCAAACUAUUUAAUGAGGAAAGACUAAUAGACAAAUCCAGAGUAACCUGUGUAAAAUGGGUGCCAGGUUCGGAAAACCUUUUCCUAGUAGCUCAUUCCAGUGGUAAUAUGUACUUAUAUAAUGUGGAACACACUUGUGGUACCACAGCUCCACACUACCAGCUACUUAAGCAAGGAGAAAGCUUUGCAGUCCACACUUGCAAGAGCAAGUCCACAAGAAACCCUCUCCUUAAGUGGACAGUGGGAGAAGGUUCCCUGAAUGAGUUUGCUUUUUCCCCAGAUGGGAAGUUCUUAGCAUGUGUGAGCCAAGAUGGCUUUCUCCGGGUAUUUAACUUUGAUUCAGUGGAGUUGCACGGUACAAUGAAAAGCUACUUUGGAGGACUACUAUGUGUUUGUUGGAGCCCAGAUGGAAAAUAUAUUGUAACAGGUGGAGAGGAUGACUUGGUUACAGUUUGGUCUUUUGUGGACUGUCGAGUAAUAGCUAGAGGCCAUGGACAUAAAUCAUGGGUCAGCGUUGUAGCAUUUGAUCCAUAUACCACUAGUGUAGAAGAAAGUGAUCCAAUGGAAUUUAGUGGCAGUGAUGAGGAUUUUCAAGACCUCCUUCAUUUUGGCAGAGAUCGAGCAAAUAGUACGCAAUCUAGGUUAUCAAAAAGGAACUCUACAGAUAGUCGCCCAGUAAGCGUUACAUAUAGGUUUGGCUCAGUGGGCCAAGAUACACAACUCUGUUUAUGGGACCUUACAGAAGACAUUCUUUUUCCCCACCAACCCCUCUCCAGAGCAAGGACACAUACAAAUGUCAUGAAUGCCACAAGUCCACCUGCAGGAAGUGGUGGAACCAACCCAGGAAGCAAUGGAAACAGCAUCACAAUGCCUGGAAAUUCUGUGCCCCCGCCUCUUCCACGGUCCAACAGCCUUCCACACUCUGCAGUCUCAAAUGCCGGCAGUAAAAGCAGUGUCCUGGAUGGUGCCAUUGCUUCUGGUGUCAGCAAAUUCGCAACUCUCUCACUACAUGACCGGAAAGAAAGACACCAUGACAAAGAUCACAAGCGAAAUCAUAGUAUGGGACAUAUAUCUAGCAAGAGUAGUGACAAACUGAACCUAGUUACUAAAACCAAAACGGACCCAGCUAAAACUUUGGGAACUUCUCUGUGCCCCCGAAUGGAAGAUGUUCCCUUAUUAGAGCCUCUAAUCUGUAAAAAGAUAGCACAUGAAAGACUGACUGUAUUAAUUUUUCUUGAAGACUGUAUAGUCACUGCUUGUCAGGAGGGAUUUAUUUGCACAUGGGCAAGGCCUGGUAAAGUGGUAAGUUUUAAUCCUUAAUGCUGCAUCAAGAUCUAGACUUGAAUAGGUAGUGAUUUUUUUCCCCCUUGUGGGAGGGAUGGGGUAUAAAAUGAAUGUUGAAUGACACUUCUUUAUGCUUAAUGUAAAGCUAAAUGCAUCAGAGCCAUAAUUUUGGAUACUGCAUGCCAUGUAAUUCCGAAUCAUUUGACAUCUCACCAUAGUACAUUAAAAAAGGAAAAUAUAUACAAAUUACCAGCCAAGACAGUUAUCCUUUUGGGAGUACAUAGAGCCCUAAGGAUCAGUUAGUGUUCCUAUAUUAGACUCUUGAUUUUAGGAAAAUCACAGCAAUGUGGAAAAACAGUGAUUUUAAAAAAUGCUAAAUUGAAAGUUUCUGCUUUGACUGAAGUAGUUUUGCUUAAACUCACUGACUACUAGGCUAUUAUGCACCUAAUGAGAGAAUGUGUAUUCAUUUCAAAGUCACUAAUUGUCAUUUAUAGUCAAAUUUUUUUCAACUUGAUCUUGAAUGUGGUUUAUGAAUCUAUCUAAAAUUUAACUUUAGGAACAAAGCGUUGAGCAGUGUUGAUAUUCUUUUUACAUUGUUAUGGCAAUCCAUCCAAAGACAAGAGCCUUAAUUUUUAAAACCCAUCUUAGUCAUUUUAUGACAGAAUUAAAGUUGUUUAAUAAACAUCUUUUCAAAGAAGUGGUUUUGUAGCACUUUGCUUGAGAUUCUGAAGAGUGGUGUUCUAAGUACAUAUCCUGUACUACUUAAGAGCCUGUAAGGUGAAAGGAAUCAUAGACUCAAGGAAGUCUGACAAGUCAUCAAAAGUGCCUCUUUGUCAUAUAUAAGCCAAGAUAAUUUGUACCCAAUACUCUGCUCUUUUGGGGGGAGGGGGGAUGGAACUGAGGGAAAAGGGAGAAGCAAGUAUUUUUGGUGAAACUCCAGCUUAGAGGCCUCAGGCAAGCUUCUUAAUUUCUUUUUAUAAAAAGUAAUAUAUUCCCAAAGGCUUAAAAGUACAGACUGAAUUUGUUUGGAUUUUGUUUUUAUACCCAAAGGAAACAGACAGAAUUUGAGGUCAUUUGUGGCUUGGGGUCUUUUUGUUUUUAAAUUAUGUUUUGUGGUACCCAAAUGAGUGUUAUACACUGGUGAAUAGUUUAGCUCUUGGAACUCUCAUUUUGAUAUUGUUUCUAAAUAAUCAGAGAGCUACUACUUUGGAACUUGUGAUCGAUUGAUGGGUAUCAAGGAGGGGAGAGUUGCUAGGUAGCGUUUUCUCAAAAAUUUUGAUACUCAAGUCAAUGGACUCAUAUUGCUUUAAUCUACAGUAAAUAAUUGGUUGUAAUUCAUAAUUUAUCUUAUCACUUAUUUAAAGCACUUCUCUUCUAAUAUUCAGAAUGGUAAAAUUGAUUCUUUUUGACUAUAUUUUGUCAAAAUGACAACUUCCUGCUUGAUAAUUUUUAUUCUUGGCAUUAAGGUUUGUGGUUAUAUUAUGGUCUACUUCAUUAAAUCUUCAGAUAAUCAGAACAUGUAUUAGUCCAAAGUUAAAAUAGUAAAGUAAAAAUCUAAUGAUUUGUAUCUUUUGAUGAAUGGUUUAGUUAAAGGAUAACUGAAUGAUAUGUUGUAGCCAUUUACACUGGUGCUGCCUGCAACUCUUUAAAGAAUUUGCUGGAAUCAGGUUUCAUCCAGGCCUAGUUUUCUGCACAUAUAAUGGCUGGAUCCAUUAAAUUUAUAUUUAUGAAACUCCUUAAUGAAAAGUCUGUUUCUAUUACCUUGUAAUAGAAAUAAAAAUAUGUAAUAAAAAUAAAAGCAGUAAACAUCUUUUUUUUUUUUUUUUUUUUUUUUUUUUGUAUUAAAGUCACAAAGCACUUUUCAGUUGUACUUUGUUUUGUUACAUAUCCCAGAAUAUUUGUUCCUGGAAAGGGAGGAAUGUUAGAGAAUGCCCUGUCUUACAAAAUGUGGUCCUUUGUUCCUAAAUGUAUAACUAAAGACAAACAUUUUAGCAGACCUUUUCACCUUUAGGUCAGUCUAAAUUUGGUUGUUAGAAAAGCAAAUUAAUAUUUAACAUCGUUUAUGCAGUUUUGUGCAUAGACAUUUUUAGAAAUCCUGUUUCAAAUGCUUCUGAGACAUUGAGUAUGCAGUUUCAAAAUUCAAGAUUGAGUAUCUGUCCACUGUGGAAAGUGGCUAAAGACAGACAUAAUUGAACUGGGCAGCACCCUGGGACCUCCAUCCCUGAAUGCUUCAAUGCAGGAAUUCCAAGCCUACACUCACACAAGUCACCAUCAGAGGUACCACUGAGUAGUGGUUCCUGGGUUCUUGGAUCUGAGAGGAAAAGAGCUCCUAUAGAUUCUGAAGAGGUGUCAAAUUCUACAUUCCAAUUGGUAUUUGCUUCCUGGUCUUGUCUAGAUUAAAGGAUCUAAGUUACAGGAACCUAACUUUAAGGGUUUAUUGUCAUCCCAAAACCAGGCCAAUUCUCCAAGUGGAACUGUAGUAUAGUCAUCCCACUACACUGCGAACAAAACCCAC
This is an RNA transcript of Sarcophilus harrisii (Tasmanian devil), 4789 nucleotides long. It is a transcript of the gene named WD repeat domain 20, with no coding region annotated. The transcript has 6 exons. The record is from RefSeq and is a predicted model, not a curated record. NCBI's taxonomy places the organism in Eukaryota, Metazoa, Chordata, Mammalia, Dasyuromorphia, Dasyuridae.